CAAAGGACGACAUUAGACGAAUCAUCUGGAAAGAUGAAUCAAAGAAGGUAAUAAUCCUGUAGUCGAAAAUGUUGUCUCUCUUGAGUGGAUCCUGAGUACGACGGAGCACGUGAAAUUCCGUCGGAAUCUGGGAGGACCAUCUCCUAAGGCUAAAUACUCUCUAGUGACCGAUAGUGAACCAGUACCGUGAGGGAAAGGUGAAAAGUACCCCGGAAGGGGAGUGAAAUAGAACCUGAAACCGUGUGCUUACAAGUAGUCAGAGCCCGUUAAUGGGUGAUGGCGUGCCUUUUGUAGAAUGAACCGGCGAGUUACGAUUUGAUGCAAGGUUAAGCAGUAAAUGUGGAGCCGUAGCGAAAGCGAGUCUGAAUAGGGCGUUUAGUAUUUGGUCGUAGACCCGAAACCAGGUGAUCUACCCUUGGUCAGGUUGAAGUUCAGGUAACACUGAAUGGAGGACCGAACCGACUUACGUUGAAAAGUGAGCGGAUGAACUGAGGGUAGCGGAGAAAUUCCAAUCGAACCUGGAGAUAGCUGGUUCUCUCCGAAAUAGCUUUAGGGCUAGCCUCAAGUGAUGAUUAUUGGAGGUAGAGCACUGUUUGGACGAGGGGCCCCUCUCGGGUUACCGAAUUCAGACAAACUCCGAAUGCCAAUUAAUUUAACUUGGGAGUCAGAACAUGGGUGAUAAGGUCCGUGUUCGAAAGGGAAACAGCCCAGACCACCAGCUAAGGUCCCAAAAUAUAUGUUAAGUGGAAAAGGAUGUGGCGUUGCCCAGACAACUAGGAUGUUGGCUUAGAAGCAGCCAUCAUUUAAAGAGUGCGUAAUAGCUCACUAGUCGAGUGA
Molecule: ribosomal RNA, 837 nt
Filed under: Staphylococcus aureus
Lineage: Bacteria; Bacillati; Bacillota; Bacilli; Caryophanales; Staphylococcaceae
Description: partial 23S ribosomal RNA
Rfam family: Bacterial large subunit ribosomal RNA
Source: RNAcentral